Bos taurus (domestic cattle) is the source of this 72-nucleotide non-coding RNA. The record is from Rfam. Lineage: Eukaryota; Metazoa; Chordata; Mammalia; Artiodactyla; Bovidae.
UCCCUAGUGGCUUAGCUGGUAAAGAAUCUGUCUGCAAUGCAGGAGACCUGGGUUCCAUCCCUGGGUCGGGAA